Anneissia japonica is the source of this 2020-nucleotide RNA transcript. RefSeq lists it as uncharacterized. Lineage: Eukaryota; Metazoa; Echinodermata; Crinoidea; Comatulida; Comatulidae. The record is from RefSeq and is a predicted model, not a curated record. The transcript has 4 exons.
GUGCAGUUACAUAUUUCUUGGAAUUCCAGUCACAAUUAUGUUCAGCCUUGACAAUCGCAUCUAUUAAUUUUGAGAGAUGUUUCGUUUUGAAAUACCCACUCAGAGUUCGCACUGUCAUCACUUUCAAAAGAAAACUAUUAGUUACAGCCGGUAUCUGGGUGAUUUCAAUCUUGUGUUCAAUUCAUGUUUUUCUAGAUUUUCAUCCAGUCAUUAUAUAUUCUUAUGUAAAUGACGAGUUUGACGAGUGGCAUCCUACAACACAAUUUAUAAUUCCGGCAGUCAUCGUUGUAGUAUCUUGCAUCAUUACAGCUGUAACACUUAUUAAAAGAAUACGCAGUAAUCGUUUACAGGAGUCCAAUCAAAGUAACGUGUCCACAGGAAAUUCUCUCAGAAAUCCAAAAAAGAAUAAAUUUAAAAAAAAUAUUAACUGAUGGUGUGCGGAUGGAUGAGAUCCAGGGAUGAGAUACAUGGAUAGAUGGAUGCAUGCAUGAUGGAUAGAUAAAUGGAUGGCUUGAUGGAUGGAAGAUCAAUAUGGACGAUGGAAGAAGGGAGCCUUAGGAAAGCAUAAAAUAAAUGAAUUCAACAGAACGGACAGAUGGACAAACGAACGACAAACGAACCAAUGAAUGAAGCCAACACAUUUACUUUCACUCCCUAAAAUUCGAUGCAAAAAAAGUAAUAAAACACAAAUUUAAUACUUGAUUCGGUACCAGAUGAGUAGGUGUAAUUUCCUAGAAUUAAAUAAUUUAGAUGAUUGCAUGUAAUUAAAAACUGUUUGUUAAAAUAAUAAUAGCUAUAUUAAAAUGAAUAUUUAGAAUGUAAGUUUAUGUGUAACCUGGGAUACGGCGUCCAACAUUUAUAGAAUAGUAAUAAUUAAGUAAUAAUACUGUACCAUCAAAUUUUACGUUUCAAUUUAUUGUCUAUGUUCCCCCUAAUAGGGGUUUUUACUCAUCAUCAAUAUAUAAUAUUAUUAAUAUAUACAAUAAAGAUCCAGUGUUGCCAAAUAAUCAAUUCUCUUAAUUAUUCUUAUUUUUUAUUGUCAAGACGGUAAACAAUCCACCAAGUUGUUUGAAAGGAACUCAAAAGCAAACCUAAUCACUAUUGCGUUAGCAUGAGAACCUCAACCACCCAGCUUCACAAAAAUACAAUGCUCAAAAUUUAUUAAAACUUUUUUACUAUUUUUACAUUUUUUUUAAUAAAAAGUAUAAUUUGAAAAUUUGGCGUUGAGCAAGAGUCAAAAUUCACUUAAUUUACUAUACAAUGUCUUUAGAAAAGUGUAAAAUAUAUUAAUUGAAACAUUUAAAAAAAUUAUUUAUUUGUCGAUAUAUUAUAGGAAACACCAGAUUUGUAAUUAGCCGUUAACAUCAGCAAAUUAAACAAAAAAUUGUACUUUUUGUGUUAAAUUUAUGUUAGAUAAUAAUUAAAAAAAAUUUGUAAAUUCAAGGAAGAGUAUAAUUCAAUUUUGGAUUAAAUCGAUUUCUGAUCUGAGAAAAGAAAGGACAAAUCAAUGUAAAAUGGAAUUCAUAUUCGAUUGAACGUAAAUUACAGAGCUACUACAAACGACACUGGAGUGAAAUCUUAUUCCAUCUACCAUUCUCGACCUCUAAUUUAAUAACUCCUAAACCAAAAACAGUAUUCUACGUUUAAAAUUCUGAAUUUCACACCCGUAUAUUAAUGAGUAGGUGUAAUUUCCUAGAAUUAAUUAAUUUACAUGUAAUUAAGAAUUGUUUAUUGAAACAUGUUGAAAUUGGUAAUAUUAUUUUUACAUCAAAGCGUUUAUCCCAUAUAUUUAUUGGUAGAUAAUUUAAGUUCUGAUUUAUUGAUGAUUUAAGAGAAUAUAAUAUGUAGCCGCAGUAGAUCAAAAUGUAUAUAUUUUAGACUAUAUUAUUUUACACUGUAAAUACGACGACUACCAUUUAGGAACGUUGGUAAUCUAAUUAACGAGUUUGUCUGUUAGCAAUAAACGCAGAUAUUGUGUUAAGUGUGUUUUGAAGAAGUGUUAAUAAAGUAGAGUAGCGCA